RNAcentral lists this ribosomal RNA (234 nucleotides) under uncultured Gigasporaceae. RNAcentral's name for it is "partial 18S ribosomal RNA". The stretch from base 38 to 234 matches the Rfam family "Eukaryotic small subunit ribosomal RNA", at positions 686 to 886 of the family's 1831-position model. Lineage: Eukaryota; Fungi; Glomeromycota; Glomeromycetes; Diversisporales; Gigasporaceae. The record is from RNAcentral.
GGGUUCUACCGUUGGUCGGGCUUUGUCUGUACUGGCGUGUAGAAUUUCUACCUUCUGGGGAACCAUCAUGUUAUUAAUUUAACGUGGUGGGAAACCAGGACCUUUACCUUGAAAAAAUUAGAGUGUUCAAAGCAGGCUUAUGUCUGAAUACAUUAGCAUGGAAUAAUAAAAUAGGACGGUGGUCCUGUUUUGUUGGUUUCUGAAUCACCGUAAUGAUUAAUAGGGAUAGUUGGG